Molecule: long non-coding RNA, 353 nt
Organism: Ailuropoda melanoleuca (giant panda)
Lineage: Eukaryota; Metazoa; Chordata; Mammalia; Carnivora; Ursidae
Exons: 3
Source: RefSeq, a predicted model, not a curated record
GCGAUCUCUACUCUCUCCAUCUCACCAACUACUGAUUAUUAUCUUAUUCUUUGCUUUCAAGAUUCUCUGUUUUACCUGCUUAUUUGGGGUCUCAGGAGCUGAGGUUAAGAAGGAGAUGCAAAGCUUGGAGCCUCCCAGAGUAUGUCAGAGGAAGACUUCAGUUUGGGACUUCAAUCAGGAGAAAUAUGUGCACAUACAUAAGAUGCCAUAUUACAUGGUCUCUGCUGGCAGGAGUUUAAAUGGGAAAGACCAUCUGGAAACCCAGAAGAAAAGAUACUACAAAACUGGCUCUAAAAGCAGAUAGUUCAUUCAUUAAAAGGGGAGUGUUUUGACCUUGUCAAAUUUGCAUUACC